This 497-nucleotide ribosomal RNA is filed under the name uncultured bacterium. RNAcentral describes it as "partial 16S ribosomal RNA". It matches the Rfam family "Bacterial small subunit ribosomal RNA", at positions 28 to 507 of the family's 1533-position model. The record is from RNAcentral.
GAUGAACGCUGGCGGCGUGCCUAAUACAUGCAAGUCGAGCGAACAGACGAGGAGCUUGCUCCUCUGACGUUAUCGGCGGACGGGAGAGUAACACGUGGAUAACCUACCUAUAAGACUGGGAUAACUUCGGGAAACCGGAGCUAAUACCGGAUAAUAUAUUGAACUGCAUGGUUCACUAGUGAAAGACGGUUUUGCUGUCACUUAUAGAUGGACCCGCGCCGCAUUAGCUAGUUGGUAAGGUAACGGCUUACCAAGGCAACGAUGCGUAGACGACCUGAGAGGGAGGUCGGCCACACGGGAACUGAGACACGGUCCAGACUCCUGGGGGAGGAAGCGGUAGGGAAUCUUCCGCAAUGGGCGAAAGCCUGACGGAGCAACGCCGCGGGAGUGAUGAAGGACUUCGGAUCGUAAAGCUCUGUUGGUAGGAGAGAACAAAUGUGUAAGUACCUAUGCUCAUCUUGACGGUACCUGAUCAGAAAGCCACGGCUAACUACGUG